ACGACCAUACCCACUGGAGAACUCGGGAUCCCGUCCGCUCUCCCAUAGAUAAGCCAGUGAGGGCCGGAUUAGUAGUUGGAUCGGUGACGACCAGCGAAUACCUGGUGUUGUAUGUU
Molecule: ribosomal RNA, 116 nt
Filed under: Colletotrichum higginsianum
Lineage: Eukaryota; Fungi; Ascomycota; Sordariomycetes; Glomerellales; Glomerellaceae
Source: RNAcentral